UGAUUAGCUCAGCUGGGAGAGCAUCUGCCUUACAAGCAGAGGGUCGGCGGUUCGAUCCCGUCAUCA
This 66-nucleotide transfer RNA is filed under the name Pseudomonas aeruginosa. RNAcentral's name for it is "tRNA-Val". It matches the Rfam family "tRNA". From Rfam's summary of the family: Transfer RNA (tRNA) molecules are approximately 80 nucleotides in length. Lineage: Bacteria; Pseudomonadati; Pseudomonadota; Gammaproteobacteria; Pseudomonadales; Pseudomonadaceae. The record is from RNAcentral.